This 253-nucleotide ribosomal RNA is filed under the name uncultured bacterium. Its description in RNAcentral is "partial 16S ribosomal RNA". It matches the Rfam family "Bacterial small subunit ribosomal RNA", at positions 524 to 776 of the family's 1533-position model. The record is from RNAcentral.
UACGUAGGGGGCAAGCGUUAUCCGGAUUUACUGGGUGUAAAGGGAGCGCAGGCGGCGCGUUAAGUCUGAUGUGAAAACCCGCGGCUCAACUGCGGGACUGCAUUGGAAACUGGCGCGCUUGAGUGCCGGAGAGGCAAGCGGAAUUCCUAGUGUAGCGGUGAAAUGCAUAGAUAUCGCGCAGAACUCCGAUUGCGAAGGCAGCAUGCCGGCUCCACACUGACGCUGAGGCACGAAAGCGUGGGUAUCGAACAGG